Molecule: unclassified non-coding RNA, 259 nt
Filed under: Hevea brasiliensis (rubber tree)
Lineage: Eukaryota; Viridiplantae; Streptophyta; Magnoliopsida; Malpighiales; Euphorbiaceae
Source: RNAcentral
GUCGUUUCAUUGCAUGAAUUUGAAUUUAACAUUCUCACCUGAAGUCACAACGUUAAAAUGUGAUUCAUUUCGAAUCAUCGGAAAUUUUAUAAUUUAUCCUGAAAUUAAAAUUGACUAGCAUUAUGCAUUGAAGCAACUUACACACGGUCACAGAUAUAUUUAAAGCAAAUAAAAUUGAGAAUAGAGAUACUCCCGAAUCUUAUAAUAAUCUUCGCAUAAGGGUCCUUCAACGACGAUUUGCUGAGUGCCAGAACCACCG